This 240-nucleotide microRNA precursor is filed under the name Oryza sativa (Asian cultivated rice). Its description in RNAcentral is "partial microRNA MIR438e-2 precursor". The stretch from base 19 to 218 matches the Rfam family "MIR812 microRNA precursor family". The record is from RNAcentral. Lineage: Eukaryota; Viridiplantae; Streptophyta; Magnoliopsida; Poales; Poaceae.
AUACUCCAUCCAUCCUAUUUUAAGUGCAACCAUGAGUUUCUGUGUUCAACUUUGAUCAUCCGUCUUAUUUGAAUUUUUUAAAUUAAUAUGUUUAUUGUUAUUAGAUGAUAAAACAUGAAUAGUACCUUAUGUGUGACAUGUUUUUUUAAUUUUUUUUUAAAAAAUCAAAUAAGACGAAUGUUUAAAGUUAGACACGAAAACUUAUGGCUGCACUUAAAAUGGGACAGAGGGAGUACCUAA